CGUAGGCGGUGGGUUACGUCUGCCGUGAAAUCCCCGGGCUCAACCUGGGAAUGGCGGUGGAAACGGGCUGACUAGAGUAUGGGAGAGGGUGAUGGAAUUCCAGGUGUAGCGGUGAAAUGCGUAGAGAUCUGGAGGAACAUCAGUGGCGAAGGCGGUCACCUGGCCCAAUACUGACGCUGAGGCGCGAAAGCGUGGGGAGCAAACA
This 205-nucleotide ribosomal RNA is filed under the name uncultured Acidithiobacillus sp. Its description in RNAcentral is "partial 16S ribosomal RNA". It matches the Rfam family "Bacterial small subunit ribosomal RNA", at positions 570 to 774 of the family's 1533-position model. The record is from RNAcentral. Lineage: Bacteria; Pseudomonadati; Pseudomonadota; Acidithiobacillia; Acidithiobacillales; Acidithiobacillaceae.